This 460-nucleotide ribosomal RNA is filed under the name uncultured bacterium. RNAcentral's name for it is "partial 16S ribosomal RNA". It matches the Rfam family "Bacterial small subunit ribosomal RNA", at positions 338 to 795 of the family's 1533-position model. The record is from RNAcentral.
CCUACGGGUGGCAGCAGUGAGGAAUCUUGGUCAAUGGGCGGAAGCCUGAACCAGCCAAGUCGCGUUCGGGAAUCAGGCCCUACGGGUCGUAAACCUCUUUUGCCGGGGAGCAAGGGCCGGGACGAGUCCCGUUCCUGAGAGUACCCGGUUAAAAAGCAUCGGCUCACUCCGUUCCAUCAGCCGCGGUAAUCCGGAGGAUGCGAGCGUUAUCCGGAUUUAUUGGGUUUAAAGGGUUCGUAGGCGGGCGUUUAAGUCAGCGGUAAAAAUUCGGGGCUCACACCCGUCCGGCCGGUGAAACUGGGUGCCUUGAGUGGGCGAGAAGAAGGCGGAAUGCGUGGUGUAGCGGUGAAAUGCAUAGAUAUCAUACAGAACACCGAUUGCGAAGGCAGCUUACCAAUCUAUAUCUGACGUUGAGGCACGAAAGCGUGGGGAGCAAACAGGAUUAGAUACCCGUGUAGUC